ACUACGGGAGGCAGCAGUGGGGGAUAUUGCACAAUGGGGGAAACCCUGAUGCAGCGACGCCGCGUGAGUGAAGAAGUAUUUCGGGAUGUAAAGCUCUAUCAGCAGGGAAGAAAAUGACAGUACCUGACCAAGAAGCCCCGGCUACCUACGUGCCAGCAGCCGCGGUAAUACGUAGGGGGCAAGCGUUAUCCGGAUUUACUGGGUGUAAAGGGAGCGUAGACGGUUAUGUAAGUCUGGAGUGAAAGCCCGGGGCCCACCCCCGGGACUGCUUUGGAAACUGUGUAACUGGAGUACAGGAGGGGCAGGCGGAAUUCCUGGUGUAGCGGUGAAAUGCGUAGAUAUCAGGAGGAACACCGGCGGCGAAGGCGGCCUGCUGGACUGAAACUGACGUUGAGGCUCGAAAGCGUGGGGAGCAAACAGGAUUAGAUACCCUUGUAGUC
RNAcentral lists this ribosomal RNA (440 nucleotides) under uncultured bacterium. Its description in RNAcentral is "partial 16S ribosomal RNA". It matches the Rfam family "Bacterial small subunit ribosomal RNA", at positions 338 to 795 of the family's 1533-position model. The record is from RNAcentral.